Molecule: long non-coding RNA, 217 nt
Filed under: Gossypium barbadense (sea-island cotton)
Lineage: Eukaryota; Viridiplantae; Streptophyta; Magnoliopsida; Malvales; Malvaceae
Description: long non-coding RNA (GBAR_LNC002323)
Source: RNAcentral
GUUGAGUAGUCUCCCCAGAUGGGUUUGCAUGCAUUACUACUAUUGUUACCUAUGUUAUUGAACUGGGCCUAUGGGCCACACUGUUAUGUAAAAUGGGGCUAAGGCCUUGCUACUGUAUUCUGAAAAAGGCUUCGGUCCACUGUGUACUGUUAUCUGAAUAGGGCUUAGGCCCAAUGGGCUCGAGCUGAUCUGGGCUUUGGAUGGGUUUCAAUAUGCA